CGCUGGCGGCGUGCCUAAUACAUGCAAGUCGAACGGUCUUUCUAUGGAAGCUUGCUUCCACUGAGAAGAUAGUGGCGAACGGGUGAGUAACACGUGGGUAACCUGCCCAUAAGAGGGGGAUAACAUCCGGAAACGGGUGCUAAUACCGCAUAGUUUUCUUGAUCGCAUGAUUGAGAAAGGAAAGACGGCCUUUGUGCUGUCGCUUAUGGAUGGACCCGCGGCGUAUUAGUUAGUUGGUGAGGUAACGGCUCACCAAGACGAUGAUACGUAGCCGACCUGAGAGGGUGAUCGGCCACAUUGGGACUGAGACACGGCCCAAACUCCUACGGGAGGCAGCAGUAGGGAAUCUUCCGCAAUGGACGAAAGUCUGACGGAGCAACGCCGCGUGAGUGAAGAAAGGUUUUCGGAUCGUAAAACUCUGUUGUCAGAGAAGAACAAGUUGGAGAGUAACUGCUCCAGCCUUGACGGUAUCUGACCAGAAAGCCACGGCUAACUACGUGCCAGCCGCGGC
RNAcentral lists this ribosomal RNA (511 nucleotides) under uncultured bacterium. Its description in RNAcentral is "bacterial SSU rRNA". It matches the Rfam family "Bacterial small subunit ribosomal RNA", at positions 34 to 518 of the family's 1533-position model. The record is from RNAcentral.